GUGGAUCAAGGGUUGGACCUGAUGAUCUCAGAGGUCCCUUCCAACCCGGAUGAUUCUAUGAUUCUAUGAUUCUAUGAUUCUAUGAUUCUAUGAUCAUGCUCAGGGUUUUUAGCUGGAGUUGACAAGUCACCUUUUACUGUCUCUAUCUCAUUUCAAGACCUCUCUUGAGGUAGACCAGCUUUGAAGCCUCUUUAUUUUCUCAAGAAUCCUGCAUGUAACUUCCACUGAAGUUCUCGGGAUUUGGCCUUUCAGUCUUCAGAAAAAAUAAAUUAUAGGUAUGUUGCAGAAGUGUAAUCCCACUUGAUAGGUAUGCAAGACCUAAGCACGGUCCUGAUCUCUCCUGAAACUAUACCUCUGUCUUCAAGCAUCGCCAUGAAUUUUGGAUUGUCAGCUGAAAAGUCAAACAGAAAACCAGCAGUUGCAGUCCAGAGGCAAUAUUUCAUUGAAGGAAGAACCAGAUGAAAAAAGAAAAUAAGAAAUCAGGAAGGAAUGCAUUCCAUUCCAAAAGCAAGGGGUUUUUGUCCUCUUUAACUUUAGUGAAGACAGCAUCAUUACAUUGGAACAUGCAACACACACCUCUUUCUGGAGGACUCCCAGUUAGAUUAUCUGAAAAUUUUUGAAAUUUAAUUUAAAUUAAUGACUGUGUGAGUAAAGAAAAUUCAGGUUCAAUA
Long non-coding RNA from Pseudopipra pipra, 671 nucleotides. RefSeq lists it as uncharacterized. The transcript has 5 exons. Lineage: Eukaryota; Metazoa; Chordata; Aves; Passeriformes; Pipridae. The record is from RefSeq and is a predicted model, not a curated record.